UACGAAGGGGGCUAGCGUUGCUCGGAAUUACUGGGCGUAAAGCGCACGUAGGCGGUUUUUUAAGUCGGGGGUGAAAUCCUGGAGCUCAACUCCAGAACUGCCUUCGAUACUGGAAGACUUGAGUCCGGGAGAGGUGAGUGGAACUGCGAGUGUAGAGGUGAAAUUCGUAGAUAUUCGCAAGAACACCAGUGGCGAAGGCGGCUCACUGGCCCGGUACUGACGCUGAGGUGCGAAAGCGUGGGGAGCAAACAGG
Molecule: ribosomal RNA, 253 nt
Filed under: uncultured bacterium
Lineage: Bacteria
Description: partial 16S ribosomal RNA
Rfam family: Bacterial small subunit ribosomal RNA
Source: RNAcentral